GAUGAAGAACGCAGCGAAAUGCGAUAAGUAAUGUGAAUUGCAGAAUUCAGUGAAUCAUCGAAUCUUUGAACGCACAUUGCGCCCGCCAGUAUUCUGGCGGGCAUGCCUGUUCGAGCGUCAUUUCAACCCUCAAGCACAGCUUGGUAUUGGGACUCGCGUUAAUUCGCGUUCCCCAAAUUGAUUGGCGGUCACGUCGAGCUUCCAUAGCGUAGUAGUAAAACCCUCGUUACUGGUAAUCGUCGCGGCCACGCCGUUAAACCCCAACUUCUGAAUGUUGACCUCGGAUCAGGUAGGAAUACCCGCUGAACUUAAGCAUAUCAAUAAGCGGAGGA
RNAcentral lists this unclassified non-coding RNA (332 nucleotides) under soil metagenome. RNAcentral describes it as "partial contains 5.8S ribosomal RNA, internal transcribed spacer 2, and large subunit ribosomal RNA". The stretch from base 1 to 120 matches the Rfam family "5.8S ribosomal RNA", at positions 35 to 154 of the family's 154-position model. The record is from RNAcentral.